This 253-nucleotide ribosomal RNA is filed under the name uncultured bacterium. Its description in RNAcentral is "partial 16S ribosomal RNA". It matches the Rfam family "Bacterial small subunit ribosomal RNA", at positions 524 to 776 of the family's 1533-position model. The record is from RNAcentral.
UACGUAGGGAGCAAGCGUUGUCCGGAUUCACUGGGUGUAAAGGGUGCGUAGGCGGAAGAAUAAGUCAGUGGUGAAAUCUUACGGCUCAACCGUGAAACUGCCAUUGAUACUGUUUUUCUUGAGUUCGGGAGAGGUUGAUGGAAUUCCAGGUGUAGCGGUGAAGUGCGUAGAUAUCUGGAAGAACACCAGUGGCGAAGGCGGUCAACUGGCCCGAAACUGACGCUGAGGCACGAAAGCGUGGGUAGCGAACAGG